Molecule: ribosomal RNA, 807 nt
Filed under: uncultured Planctomycetota bacterium
Lineage: Bacteria; Pseudomonadati; Planctomycetota
Description: bacterial SSU rRNA
Rfam family: Bacterial small subunit ribosomal RNA
Source: RNAcentral
GCUGGGUAACUGGCUGGGGGAAGUGGCGAAAGGGGCAGUAAGGCAUGGGUAACUUGCCCCGGAGUCUGGAAUAGCCAUCCUAACGGAUGGGUAAUACUGGAUGUCGUACGAUGGGGGCCUCCUCGUGGUACGAAAGCUCUGGCGCUCCGGGAGGGGCCCAUGUAGUAUUAGCUAGUUGGUGGGGUAACGGCCUACCAAGGCGAAGAUGCUUAGCAGGUGUGAGAGCACGACCUGCGCCACUGGCACUGGGACACUGGGCAGACUCCUAUGGGAGGCUGCAGUCGAGAAUCUUCGGCAAUGGGCGCAAGCCUGACCGAGCGAUUCCGCGUGAGCGAUGAAGGCCUUCGGGUUGUAAAGCUCUGUCGAGGGGGGGAAAGGGAAACUUGAUCGACCCCUGGAGGAAGCACGGGCUAAGUUCGUGCCAGCAGCCGCGGUAAGACGAACCGUGCAAACGUUGUUCGGAAUCACUGGGCUUAAAGGGCGCGUAGGCGGGCAGGCAAGUCGGAGGUGAAAGCCCGCGGCUCAACCGUGGAAGUGCCUUCGAUACUGCAUGUCUAGAGGGAGGUAGGGGCGUGCGGAACUUCCGGUGGAGCGGUGAAAUGCGUAGAUAUCGGAAGGAACACCGGUGGCGAAAGCGGCACGCUGGAUCUCUACUGACGCUGAGGCGCGAAAGCCAGGGGAGCAAACGGGAUUAGAUACCCCGGUAGUCCUGGCCCUAAACGUUGGGUACUAGGUAGUGGACUUACAUGGGUUCACUGCCGAAGCAAAAGUUUUAAGUACCCCGCCUGGGGAGUAUGGUCGCAAGGC